GACGAACGCUGGCGGCGUGCUUAACACAUGCAAGUCGAACGGAAAGGCCCUGCUUUUGUGGGGUGCUCGAGUGGCGAACGGGUGAGUAACACGUGAGUAACCUGCCCUUGACUUUGGGAUAACUUCAGGAAACUGGGGCUAAUACCGGAUAGGAGCUCCUGCUGCAUGGUGGGGGUUGGAAAGUUUCGGCGGUUGGGGAUGGACUCGCGGCUUAUCAGCUUGUUGGUGGGGUAGUGGCUUACCAAGGCUUUGACGGGUAGCCGGCCUGAGAGGGUGACCGGCACCUUGGGGCUGGGAAUCCGGCCCGGACUCUUCCGGGGGGCAACGUGGGGAAUAUUGGCCCAUGGGGCGGAAGCUGGUGGCGGCACCCCCGGGUCCGGGUUGACGGCCUUGGGUUGGUAACCGGUUUUCGCUUUGGACGAGGCGUGAUUGCCGUUAUGGGUAAAGGAGCCACGGCUUACCUCCGU
RNAcentral lists this ribosomal RNA (467 nucleotides) under uncultured bacterium. RNAcentral's name for it is "partial 16S ribosomal RNA". It matches the Rfam family "Bacterial small subunit ribosomal RNA", at positions 28 to 506 of the family's 1533-position model. The record is from RNAcentral.